ACGGAAGGCAGCAGUGGGGAAUAUUGCACAAUGGGCGCAAGCCUGAUGCAGCGACGCCGCGUGAGCGAAGAAGUAUUUCGGUAUGUAAAGCUCUAUCAGCAGGGAAGAAAAUGACGGUACCUGACUAAGAAGCUCCGGCUAAAUACGUGCCAGCAGCCGCGGUAAUACGUAGGUGGCAAGCGUUAUCCGGAUUUACUGGGUGUAAAGGGCGCGUAGGCGGGGAUGCAAGUCAGGUGUGAAAUCUAUGGGCUUAACUCAUAAACUGCAUUUGAAACUGCAUCUCUUGAGUGCUGGAGAGGUAGACGGAAUUCCUUGUGUAGCGGUGAAAUGCGUAGAUAUAAGGAAGAACACCAGUGGCGAAGGCGGUCUACUGGACAGUAACUGACGCUGAGGCGCGAAAGCGUGGGGAGCAAACAGGAUUAGAUACCCUGGUA
This is a ribosomal RNA of 434 nucleotides. It matches the Rfam family "Bacterial small subunit ribosomal RNA", at positions 341 to 792 of the family's 1533-position model.